RNAcentral lists this ribosomal RNA (495 nucleotides) under uncultured bacterium. RNAcentral's name for it is "partial 16S ribosomal RNA". It matches the Rfam family "Bacterial small subunit ribosomal RNA", at positions 28 to 507 of the family's 1533-position model. The record is from RNAcentral.
GACGAACGCUGGCGGCGUGCCUAAUACAUGCAAGUCGAACGCUGAAGGAGGAGCUUGCUUCUCCGGAUGAGUUGCGAACGGGUGAGUAACGCGUAGGUAACCUGCCUGGUAGCGGGGGAUAACUAUUGGAAACGAUAGCUAAUACCGUAUAACAGUAGAUGUUGCAUGACAUUUGCUUAAAAGGUGCAAUUGCAUCACUACCAGAUGGACCUGCGUUGUAUUAGCUAGUUGGUGAGGUAACGGCUCACCAAGGCGACGAUACAUAGCCGACCUGAGAGGGUGAUCGGCCACACUGGGACUGAGACACGGCCCAGACUCCUACGGGAGGCAGCAGUAGGGAAUCUUCGGCAAUGGACGGAAGUCUGACCGAGCAACGCCGCGUGAGUGAAGAAGGUUUUCGGAUCGUAAAGCUCUGUUGUAAGAGAAGAACGAGUGUGAGAGUGGAAAGUUCACACUGUGACGGUAUCUUACCAGAAAGGGACGGCUAACUACGUG